RNAcentral lists this unclassified non-coding RNA (20855 nucleotides) under Haliotis rufescens (red abalone). RNAcentral's name for it is "rNA-binding protein 33-like, transcript variant X5". The record is from RNAcentral. Lineage: Eukaryota; Metazoa; Mollusca; Gastropoda; Lepetellida; Haliotidae.
GCCAUUUUAUUUUGCGCGUGAAUAUCCUCCAAGUAAAUCUCAACCUAAAUCAUGGAUAACUGCGGUAUUCUACGGAUUUGUUGUUAAAAUGCAACUAGGCGUGCAUUAAUUAUAUGUCAUGGUAGACCAUAACAAGAAGAUGCCACUGAUUGCAUUUCUCAAGUAACUGACAUCAUGACAACCAGAAGUGGGAAGAGGAGGCCCACUGAAGUAUCUUGGGACAGUGAUGAUGACCUUCUCCAGGAAGAUAUUGGAGGAAUUAAUGCCUUUCCUAAGAGUAAGGUGAGCUUGGGUCACGAAUCCGAAGAGGAAUACGACGAGGAGGCACUUCUGGGGAGUGAUGAUGAAAAGGGAGAUAAGUCUGGGUAUGCCAACACGACAGAGGAGGGCAUUUCCCUCAUUGAGGAUUCUGAGAGCUUCAACCAGACGGGGGGCGACUCACUGGAGGGAGGGAUGAUUGAGCAAGAUGCAGGAGGCCUUGAUGGGGCCCAGGAUGCUGAGGCUUUGGAGAUUGCUGUAGAUGAUGAAGAGAUUCAGGACCUUGCCGAAGGUCUUGAUGACUUCAACCCGGACAGCUAUAAUGGCGACCAGUAUGACAGUGGCGCCCUCUACGAUGAGGGGGGCUUUGAGGGGGGUGAGCAGCCGUACACCCACCAUGGGGAGCACUACCAGGGGGAGGAUUAUGAAGCGCAGCAGUUCAACCAGGAGGGGGGAGAGGGGCAGUUCAACAGCACCCAGGAGGAUGUGGAAGAACCAGAGGGUGAUGAGACUCAGACCACUCAGGAGCUGCAGGAGGAGAGUGACAGUGAGAGUGACAGCGAUGGGGAGUCAGGCCGAGGCAGGUUCAAGUCCGAGAGGUCCAACAUCAUAACCAUUGCGACCACCAAGUCAAGACAGGACAUUCCAGAGACUCUCGAAAUAAGUGAAGAACAGCAGCAGGAGAUUGACCAGUUCUUGUCGAGCAACCAGAAAGGUCGUCGAGGUCGUGGGGGUCAGUGGCGACACCAGGGCCCAAGAGGUCGAGGUCAGUUCGGGCCAAGAGGGCCCUGGCAACAGUUCCGGCCUCAAGGAGGACAUGGACAACAGCAGCAGGCAUUCAAUCCACAACAGAGGUUUGGUCCUCCCAGACAGGCUUGGAAUCAGCCACCACACCAACAAGGACCCCCAGACCACAUGCAGCAUCAUCAACAACACCAGCACCAGCAGCAGCCUCAUCAGCAUCUUCAUCAACCUCAUGCACAACACUUAGCGCAACCUCAGCAUCAACAGCCGCCACUUCAAUCUCAUGUCCUGCCUCACUCUGCACAUGCAGCUCACCCCAGUAUUGACAGCAGUCAGCAGCCAGCACUGCCUUCCGCCACCCAGCCUCCGCAGUCCUCGCAGCCCUCGUCCAGGAAGAUUCUUAUUAACCCCCACUUCCGGGCACGGGCACCCGCACCCCAGCCAGCAUCAACCAACACAUCAUGGGCGACGCAGCGAGGCCCCGCUGAUGUGUAUCAGCCGCCUCAGAUGCCUCAUCCCCAGCCCGCUGCCGUAGCUCCACAGGUAUCCCCCUUCCAGCCUCCAGCAUCCGAAUCAUGGCAACCUCAGUCCCAGGCUCCGGUGCAGGGCCAGUACCAACCUCCUCAACAUCAAGUAUCACAGCCAUAUCCAGUCCACACGGCACAGAACCCCCAAUACCAACAGCAUCAGCAGCAGCAUCAGCAACAACAUCAGCCCCAACAGCAGCAGCAGCCACAGCACCACCCGCCCCAGCAAGGAUCCUAUCCCUCCCAGCAGACUGGCCCCCCACAUGCCCAGCCUAUGGUCACGCCUCUCAUGCAGACAGGCCCCAGUCAGCCACAGCCAUUGAUGACCCAACCCUCUCAUCCACAACACUCAGGGGCACCUGGCUUCCACCAGCCAUACCCCCAGACGCCCCAGCCACUGUUGUCAGUUUCCAGCCCUCACCCGGCACAGCCGAGGCCCCUACUCUCACCCCAGGGACCCCCAGGUCAGCCGAGGUAUCAUCAGCCCUUGGUUCAGCAACAGCAGCCAGGUUCCAUUAUUCCGACCACCAGCAACCAGCAGCAACGCUUCCAGCAACCAGGCCACAACCAGCAGUUCCAACAGCAACAGCUGAUGCCUCCUCCUCCCCAACAGCAUCUCCAACACCAGCAGAUACACAGCUUCAACCGUGCUCCAAACCAACAUCAGCCAAUCGUGAACCGAAAUCCAAACCAGAACUUCAACAGGUCCCCCGUUCAACAAAAUGUCAGACCUCAAAACUUUCAACAGCAAACAGGAUUCCAACCUCGAGGCCCUCGACACCAAAUGCAACCCCAUGGCCUUCAAGGUCAAGGUCAAGUUCAGGGUCAGCGCCAUCAGCAGUCUGGAGGUCACCUAGGGCAUAACAACCAGCAAAUUCAAACAAGUCAGACUGGAAAUCGCCUUCAGCAACAGGGAAGAAUAGGGCAGCAGGGAAGUGCAGGAAAUAGGCUUCAGAACAAGCCCAUGUUCACUCAGAACAAGAUCCAGACCACCAACUCUAACCUGAAGGUGAUCACCCCAUUGCCACAGAAGAGAAUAUCCACCUCAUCGGAGGAAGGCAUGACUGGCCCAAAGCAGGCUAAAAGCCUUGUUGAGGAAGAGCCAAUGGAUGAUGAAACUCGGGAGUUGAAGAAGAAGUUGGAGGUACAGAAGCGGAUGCGAGAAGAGAUUAUCAAGAAGAAGGAAAUGAAGCGUCGGCUAGAGGCAGUCCGACGGCGGAAGGAACUUGAGAAGAAGCUGGCCCAGAAAGGAAUGACAAUUGAUGACAUUGCUGACCCCUCCUCUGAUUCUGGGCAAGACACUGGCAUACAAGAAGGUCAGCCAAUACAGGCAAUAGGAUCUCCAGCAGUCCAGCCAAAAGCAGUACAAGGCCGACAGGCCAAUCAGACCAUCGGCAGAGGUCAGCCUAUCCGUCGACUAUCGGGGUCAGGGAACCAGCAAGGGCCGCUAAUGCGUCAGAUGUCAAGUGGGAUGGGUGACCAGCAGUCACAGCAGAUCGCGAGGCAGAUGGACAACCAGGGAAGGCAGAAUGUUGGUGUGAAACGUCAAAUGAGUGGAGACGGACCUAUUCAUGCUAAAAAUACCAGAAUGUCUCAGCAGGGAAACCAGCAGAUGAAUGCUGGUAGAGGUCAACAGAUGAGGGGUCAAGGUCAAUCUAGAGGUCAUGGUCAGAUGAGAGGAGGGCAGAUGAAUGCUCGAGGAAGAGGCCAUCAUCAGGGAGGUCCGAAUGGCCAAGUCAACAGUGAGGUGAUGAGAAACCAGAACCAAGGAUUUCAUGAACCUGGGUUUCAGGGUCAAGGUCCAGCAAAUAGAGGUCAAGGUCAGGCUAUGGGUCGAGGGGGACCUGGAGGCCGAGGGCAGGGAAUGAUGCAGGGACCUGAUCGUGGGGGCUAUGGACAUCCCAACAUGGGAGGAAGGGGAGGGAUGCCCAUGAGAGGGAAUAUGCAAGGGAAUAAUAAUAUGAUGGGACCUAAUGGGAUGCGGGGCAGAGGUCAGCCCAAUAUGAGAGGUCAGCCCAAUUUGAGAGGUCAACCCAAUAUGAGAGGUCAACCCAAUAUGAGAGGUCAGCCCAACAUGCGAGGUCAACCCAAUAUGAGAGGUCAGCCCAACAUGCGAGGUGAACCCAACAUGAGAGGUCAACCCAAUAUGAGAGGUCAGCCCAACAUGCGAGGUCAACCCAACAUGCGAGGUCAACCCAACAUGAGAGGUCAACCCAACAUGAGAGGUCAACCCAAUAUGAGAGGUCAGCCAAAUAUGAGAGGUCAGCCCAAUAUGAGAGGUCAGCCCAAUAUGAGAGGUCAGCCCAAUGUUCGUGGACCCAUGCGUGGCAGAGGCCAAAUGCAUGGAGGUGGACGGGGACAAAUUACCCCCCCUGGAAACAAAGGUCAAGGUGAACCUGCAGGCAACAACCAUACAGUGAUAACUUCACCACCUCAGACAAGGUCAGUCGUGCAGGGCCAAGGUGACGGUGAAGGUCAGACAAGAAAAGUUGUUGCCCGAGGACGAGGUGCUGCAAGUAUCGCAAGUCAAGGCAGAGGUCGUGGAGCAGUUGCUCAACCAGUAGGAAAUCAGAAUCGGAAAAUUGUGAUGAAUAGUGCGCAGACCGUACGGAUAACUAACUUGUCAGCAUCGACAUCCCAAAAGGUCCUAGAUCAGCUGUGCAAAACUGUUGGCCCAGUGGAGAGCAUUUCUCUGGUCAAAGCGGAUAAGCAGGCCACCAUCAAGUUCUGUAACUCCAAUCAUGCUACCACCUUCUCAAAGAGAUACAACAGACACAUGAUUGAUCUGUCUCACAUCAAUGUGGAACUCAUCAACUGAGUUGCCUCACCCGUCUUCACAUGCAGUCUGGUGGAGUUGUCCCCCUUCUACACAUGACCAGGCAGAGUUGUCUCCCUUCUUCACAUGACCAGGCAGAGUUGUUCCCCUUCCGUCACAAGCUGCCCUGUUUCUGGAAAUGAAUGGACUUGUAUACUGCUGCCUGACACAGUAGGUACAGUACGGUUUUGGGACAAGAUAGAUUCAAGUCUAUUCUCUUUUCAGAUUUACUGCUGUUAUUUUUGUAUGGCAUGUGCCUGGUUUUGUAAAGGUGUUUUGAUACUAUUUGUCAUGAUGUCGAUAAUCAUUGUGAUGGGAGAUACAUUCACAUCUUGUGAGUGUUUGUUGGAUGGCAGUGUGAGGACUGUGUACAUGGUAGUGCUGCUGCCUCUCCUGGAACGUCAAGUAGUUGUCACGUAUUGUGGAAAAGGGUAAAGACAAAGUGGAACAACACAAGGAUUAUCAAAGAAAGAAGAAAGGACAAGCGUCUGAAGCCCCUCAGUUCCUGGGAUAGUACUUGUUUGUGAUUGGCCAGAUAGCAAAUUGUAACAUUGCAUCCUUGGAUAGUACUUGUUUGUGAUUGGCCAGAUAGCAAAUUGUAACAUUGCAUCCUGGGAUAGUACUUGUUUGUGAUUGGCCAGAUAGCAAAUUGUAACAUUGCAUUCUGGAAUAGUACUUGUUUGUGAUUGGCCAGAUAGCAAAUUGUAACAUUGCAUCCUGGGAUAGUACUUGUUUGUGAUUGGCCGGAUAGCAAAUUGUAACAUUGCAUCCUUGGAUAGUACUUGUUUGUGAAUGGCCAGAUAGCAAAUUGUAACAUUGCAUCCUUGGAUAGUACUUGUUUGUGAUUGGCCAGAUAGCAAAUUGUAACAUUGCAUCCUAGGAUGACUUCGAUUUGUGAUUGGUCAGUCAGCUAUUUGUUCUGUUUCUGAGAUAGCAUUGACUGAUUGGUCAGUUUGGCUGAUGAGGGCGUGUAGAGGAAGGUAUCGGAUGUGACAAGAUACCCAGGAUACUGUUCCAGAUGAAGAUGUCCUGAUGUUCUGUCGGACAUUAUUUGUGACUAUGAACCAGAGACAUGUUUUGUGAAGGAUACAAGAAUUUCCUCUGCAGCACUGGUAACUAGUGGGCUGCUGGUCAAGAUCUGUGACAUUUGAUAUCAUAUGAGAGUUGGUAACUGAUAUAAUCGAAAAAACAUACUAACAUCAGAACCGAUUUCCUAUUUUUCUUUAUUGUUUUUAGUAGGUGUAAAUAACUUAUAAUGAAGGCAAGAUUCUAAACCAGGAUGAAACUUGUGUGUGUAUAUGAAGAUAGGGAGAAGCCAAUUUGGGUCAACCUCAAUUUUAGUUUCCCACUUUGUUUUAUUGAGGACUUUGUUGAUCUGAUUGUAUGUCAUUUCAGCUGUGUGUCCUGGAUGGAGAUUUUAAUGAUCACAGGAGAUUUAGUUUUCCGUAUUUUAUUCUCCUUAACAAGUGCUAUGAACAGUUAAUCAAAGAAACAGUAACUUUAGAUAUUAGUGUCUGGUUAUUCAGAGUCGACAUGAUCAAAUACUUGUAAGAUGUUACAAGACUCUUCUGUUAUUUACAGGGUUGAUACUGUUAUUAUUAUGAUAAUAACAAUAAUAAUGAUAAUGAUGAUCAGAUAACUUAGGAAUAAUCAAAGGUUUAGUUGGGUGGUUUCUGGCAUGCCAUCUGAAGAGUAAAGUGAAUCGUCUCAGGCAAAUGAGCCCAGCCCCCCUUCAAGACUGCAUGGAAAAAGAUCUUUAAUGUGUGAUGUUGCAACAAUGUAGCCAAGAAAGCAAGUCCUGAUGUCCCACAAUUCAAUGCUGUUGUCCCUCUGUCAACUUAUGUCACCAUGGGAUCAAGUUGCAGUGUACCGCUUUCUGUUAAGGAUACCCCAUCGUUUUAUUACACCCCUCUAUCCAGUUAUGAGACCCCACUGUCAAGUUCUGAAGCCCAAUUGUUAACAUAUGAAGCGCCAUUUGUCAAGUUAGGAAGUCACUAUAUCCAUUAGAGAUGAUCCCCUAUCAAGUUAUGAUACCCAACUGUCAAUUUGUUACGUCCCACUAUUAAGUUGCGAUGCCCCACUAUCAGGUCACAAAGCCCCACUAUCAGGUUACGAUGCCCCACAGUCAGGUUACGAUGCCCCACUAUCAGGUUACGAUACACAUUAUUAGGUUACGAUGCACCUUAUUAAGUUACGAUGCCCCACUUUCAGGUCACGAAGCCCCACUAUCAGGUUACGAUGCCCCACUAUCAGGUUACGAUACACCUUAUCAGGUUAUAAUGCCCCACUAUGAAGUUAUAAUGCCAAACAAUCAGGUUACGAUGCCCCACUAUCAAGUUAUGAAGCCCCACAAUCAGGUUAUAAUGCCCCACUAUAAAGUUACGAUGCCCAACUGUCAGGUUUUGAUGCCCCUCUAUCAGGUUACGAUGCCACACUAUCAGGUUACAAUGCCCCACUAUUUGGCUAUGAUGCCCAAGUAUUAUGUUACGAUGCCUACUAUCAGGUUACGAUGCCUCAGACUUAGGUUACGAUGCCCCCUAUCAGGUUAUGAUGUCCCACUUCAAUGUAAUGGCGCCCCACUAUCAAGUUAUGACACCGUCUUUCAAGUUAUUACCCCCUAUAACAGAUACAGUUAACCACCAAAGUCAUAAGUAGCUGCAACCACUGUAACCUAGGGCUUUCCUCCCGUGUUGAACAUGGAGGUCAUGACAAGGGUUUGUUCAAUAUUAACAUCACCUACUUCAGCUGGGUUUGCUAUAUCAUAUGGUAAACAAUCUUAUGUUUAUGUGUUCUGUGACAGUGUAUGUGAAGAAAUACUCUUAGAGUCAUGUAAGGAUGACCUAAUGUUAUAAACAUUUUUGUAAUAUCUGACGAAACUUAUAAAAUAUCAAGGUAUGCUAGGAAUAUUUAAUCUUAAAAUAUGUUGUUGAAAUGACAUGUUUUAAUGUUGAUAUCGUAACAAAUACAAGUCAAGGCAAUAUAAAUAAAUUCCUAAGCCAUUUGCAUGUAUGAAAAUAAUUUCUCAUACUAGAUCCAGUUGGUUGACAGCUGUUGUUCAUUCUGCUGGAUCUGUAUGACACCAAAGGAGAAGAUGGCAUGUCAGAAUUCUAAAGCUUUAGAAGACUAGGCAAUGAAGGGUACCGGGGUAUGCCGACGUACUUCUAGUCAGGAUGGUUAUAGAAGUGCCAGCAGGCAUAGCAAUGAAUGGGCUUUUUCCGCAUUCAAAUUAACAAUCGUCUAACAAUAUUUCCAAAUAGAAUUAGGACGGUAACAUUAAAUGCUAUUGUUAGGAAACAAAAAUGACCUCAGAUGCUAAUGCUGUAAAUUUAAAUACAUGUCGGGUGACCGUAUAAUUACUCAUGGAGGAUGUUGGGUUCUGAUUGGUCGACAAGUUUCAUCGAGUGUUGUUAUGCUGUUGUGUAUUGAGAUCAUUCAUAUUUAGUCUGUGAUGAUACAGCAGUAUUUCUUGAACUUCAAACCCCAGACUUUGGAUACCAUAGACUUUGAAUCCUGUAGACAUUGAAUCCCAUGGACAUUGAAUCCCCCAGACAUUGAAUCCCACAUGGAACUUAAAGAGAUCAUGCUCCCAUUACGCUGAGAGUGCUGAGAGUUUAAUUUUGUUCAACCUGGAUGGUGUACAUUAUUGGUAAACUAACAAAUCUGAUGUAUAUUGUUAAAUAUGCUGUAAAAUAAAAAGAAUUGUGCUUAAGAAUUGGUUUUCUGAUUGAUCAGUGUUGUGAGUGGUAAGAAACACUGAGAAUGACUUUUGUAGAUUUUGUCAAGGAUUGGGAUGACUUUGGUGAAUAAGGUACACUUUCAAGAAAGCAAAUUUUUUUGUGAAAUGAGCAUUGACUAUUUACUAAAUGUGAUCAGAAAUUUUCAGUAAUGCAGGUGGUUAUUUUUUUUGUAAUGUUGCGGAGAAAAAAGACUAUUCCAUAUUUUUGUAAUAGCCCCAAACCCUUCUAUGGAAACGAGGUAUUAUGUUGAAAUCUCUAAACUAUCAAAGUGUCAGACCUGCAAGAAGGUUGUUUGUGUUAAUUUUAUAUUUUUAUUGGUCCAAGUUGAUUUUGUUUGUGUGUUUUAUAUACCGGUGGCAUUAUUGCUGAAUGUGGCAUUGAAAAGUUGACAAAGUUUUUUUUAUCAAAACCACGUACAAGUUAAAUUUGUUGUCAGAAAUUGAGAGGUAGAGAAAAGAUGUAGCUAAUUCCAAAUCUUUCAAUAAUAUACUACUCAGAAGAAGUUAAGGAUCACUGAUUCUUUCAUAUUUAUAUAAUUAAUCUGUCAUGCCAGGACAGAAUAAUCAUAGGAAAGAAUUGGGUGUUCUUUAACUUCUUUUGAGUGGUAUAGUUAGUAGGCAAUGAUACACAGCUGCAUUUUCUGUUAAAAGAUCUGAUAUGCACAACAGAAAAUGAGCUUAGGUUGGGGUAUUUAUGAAGAUUACUUAUGGUUUGGUCUAGAAAUUGGUCAGGAGGUCCUCAAUACAGCGAAAAUAGUACAGUAAACUACGGUUAUAAUGAACUCAAAGGGACACUAAUAUUACUUCGUUAUAACAGUAGUUUGUUAUAAGCAUACGUACAGCACAUAUACUGCAAAUGGCCGGGACCAAAACAUAAGUUUCUUGUAAUGUAUGUGGUAAAGAAUUUCAAAUUUAGUAAUUUCCACUUAAAUACCUUAACACUAUGAACUUGGGUUUGGCGCCAUGGGUUAUGGGCUGGAAUCAGCUUCUAGCAUUGGAUGUCAAGUUUGGUGUGUUUCCUAUAACACAUAAGAUUUAUGUGGAUAUCUUAACAGCUCUAGUUUUGAGAUAGGACUUUGGAACUUUCACCAGUAUGGAUAACAACUUCUUUAAUACUGUAAAGGCGAUGUUUCGGUAUAGAUCCCUAUACCGUUGUCAAGCAAGACUGAAUUCUGUACAAUGUUCCUUAUUCAGUCCUUUACAGUAUUUAAGAAGUUAUCCAUAAAUUGUGUCUACUUUGUCAUCCGUCAACUUGUAAGUAAAGCCUAUCAAACAAUUUUUCACCAGUUUCUAAUGCUGUAUGUCGAGUUUGUUUUUGUGUUUCCUGUAUUCAGAUUAUUUCUUCCAGUGAUUUGUGCCUCAUUCCAUGUAGCUGAAAGUCAUCCCUCUCCUCUGAAGGUUUCUCAAGUGAGAUCUGACGUUUAACUUUACAGAGUACUGGCAUAUUGGUCAUCUUGUCAUCAGAAGUUGUGUCCGUCUGUCUGUGAUGCAUGUUUUAGCCCAUCAGGAGGUUUGGUUCACAGCAGUGUUGGCAAUCGGUAAUACUUUCUAGGUUUUAAAAAUCAAUCGAUGAUCUAUUACCGUAUUCGACGUAAUAAGCGCCCCGCUCUAAUAAGCACCCACAGCGACAUUUGCUAACAUAUUGGCAAGUGAACAAUCCCAAUUAGCCCCCCUUCCGAAUUAUCAAUGUACACAAGACUUAUUUAUUCGUGUACAAUACGCACUCGUGUGUUAUAUUCACCCUUAGUUAUGGGCAAUUAAAUUCUGGAAAAAUGUAUCUGUCGUAUAAAAACAAUUCAGACUGUCAGCACAAACCACGAAAUUUAUCUUUCAACUCUAAUUUAAUAUUCUAAUAAGAGCCCCCUAUUUCUAAUUUUGAGAGCGCCCUGGGCGCUUAUUACGUCGAAUACGGUAAUGAUCAAUAAAUUGAAUAGAACUAUCAUGUUUUCUGAGUAUCCUUCAUGAAAAUAACAGUGAACAAAAUUGAAAACUCAUUGAGGAUCCGAUAUUUUACUAUCGAGUGUCGUACCCUUAAGUCCAGAGUUCUUGCACUUUGCAAACUUACAUCGGAAUAAUUGUUGAUUUCAUGUCACUAACAUGUGUCCCCUGUCCAUCUAUUCCGGCAAUUCCUGGUGCUAUGUGUACAUAUAUCUUGUGCCUAGGUCUGAUACUGAAACCUGAUCGGUUACAAACUACACAUUUUGAUAUAGGGAUGUCCUUUCGUUUGUUGCCCUGUUGCUAUAAAGUAACAGGGUGUUGCCUCAUCCUACAAAAGUGGGGACCCCCAGGAAGUAAUUUUAAGGGUUCUUUCUGGCUAUAUGAGGACCCAGUAAAGUAAUGACAUGGUGUAGUGUACUGUACGUUUAGAUAAUUACUUAGAGCCUGGAAUGAAUCAAUGAUCAUGUGGACAGUGGUCAUGAUUGAUGGAUGAAAUAACAGACACCCAUUACUGAUCUUGAUGAGCUGUAGGUACAAUGAGUAUUAUUGUAUGUUCCUCGUUUUUCUGUGCCCGUUCUCUAUAUUUGUGCAUCGCGUAAAACCCAGAAGUAAUGCUGCUAUCACCUUGUGCAUUUGUUGACCCCCUACGGUUUGUUCAAAAACUUGACUCUGCAAUAAAGUUUGUUCAAAAACUUGACUCAUCAAUGCAAUAAAUAGUUAAAUAAGUCUCCAAUCACUGAAUAUAUGUGUAUACCUACGGUUUGUUCAAAAACUUGACCCUUCAAUACAAUAAAAAGCAAAAUAAGUCUCCAUUAACUGAAUAUAUAUGUAUACCUACGGUUUGUUCAAAAACUUGACUCAUCAAUACAAUAAAAAGCAAAAUAAGUCUCCAUUAACUGAAUAUAUAUGUAUACCUACGGUUUGUUCAAAAACUUGACCCUUCAAUACAAUAAAAAGCAAAAUAAGUCUCCAUUAACUGAAUAUAUAUGUAUACCUACGGUUUGUUCAAAAACUUGACUCAUCAAUGCAAUAAAUAGUUAAAUAAGUCUCCAAUCACUGAAUAUAUGUGUAUACCGAGGGUUUGUUAAAAAACUUGACCCUUCAAUACGAUAAAAAGCAAAAUAAGUCUCCAUUAACUGAAUAUAUAUGUAUACCUACGGUUUGUUCAAAAAUUGACUCAUCAAUACAAUAAAAAGCAAAAUAAGUCUCCAUUAACUGAAUAUAUAUGUAUACCUACGGUUUGUUCAAAAACUUGACCCUUCAAUGCAAUAAAAAGCAAAAUAAGUCUCCAUUAACUGAAUAUUUAUGUAUACCUACGGUAUGUUCAAAAACUUGACCCUUCAAUACAAUAAAUCGUGAAAUAAGUCUCCAUUCACUGAAUAUUUAUGUAUACCUACGGUUUGUUCAAAAACUUAACCCUUCAAUACAAUAAAUAGCAUAAUAAGUCUCGAUUCACAGAAGAUGUGUAUAUACCCAAGGUUUGUUCAAAAACUUGACCCUUCAAUACGAUAAAAAGCAAAAUAAGUCUCCAUUCACUGAACACUGUAUACCUACGGUUUGUUAAAAAACUUGACCCUUCAAUACAAUAAAUAGUGAAAUAAGUCUCCAUUCACUGAAUAUAUAUGUAUACCUUCGGUUUGUUCAAAAACUUAACCCUUCAAUACAAUAAAUAGCAAAAUAAGUCUCCAUUCACUGAAUAUAUGUAUAUACCGGUAUAGACAUUAUUAAAUACUGCUAGAAACAAAUAUAACACUCAGCAUAAAAUAUCUCGAUAACUGUUGUCUUUUCUUAACUUGCACUAGAUCCACAUGUGCACAUGGAAUGACUGAUGUAGGGUAUUACUGUCCGCCCUUUCAGUAGUUGUGCAGUGGUGUCAAAGCCCUGACGUGAAACUGAUCUUAACAGCCAUUUGAUAACCUUAAUUGUGGUAUUGGGGACAAUCACGUAACCCUUUGAAUGCAAGUUUGGCAGGAGUCCCCUGGUCUUGAUAAAGAUCCACCCCGAAAGUCCCGAGAGACAAAUAGUUAAACUGCAGUUAAAUAACUGUUUAAAUUCACUGAUAGGUGUGGAAAAGCCACUUGUUCCUGUUGUCUAAACUUAGGUUAAAAACAGAAAGUGCAAUCCACAAUUUACGCCUAUAAAAGUUUGGACGAGUGGCCUUUACCACCUUCUUAAGAGUGGAGAAAUCGUAAUAAACAUACAACUCUGGAAAGCAACUUCUGGUGUUUUGCAUAUGGUGACAUUUUGAUGUAGAUUCUUACACCGUUAUCCAGUUUCAUAACAGUGUAAGACUUUACACCAAAAUGUCACGACAUGUGUAUGCAAUAAACCAGAAGUUGUUAUCAAUAAUGUUGUAUGUUCUUUAUUGACUCACCGACUUCUACAGGGUUAGAAAUUAACACUAGCCUGCUAGCUGGGGGCUAGUACAAAUUCCUGUGGGCUAUAACACAUUUCCUAAUUUCCCGUUUGUGUUAACAUAACAAGGGCAUUGUAUCCUUACUCGGGCUAAUAAAGCUUUAAUGUUUAGUUCUAACCAUGUUCUAAAAUGCUAAUCAAACAGUUGGAGAAAGUGUUUUUUUGUUUUUAUCUUCAAUUACUUUUUGUUUUAUUGGAUUAAAUCAAAUAGAUCCUCAGUAAUCGCACUGGGAUCCCACUUAUCUCUGCGAGAGUCGCACGACUGGACUCGCAAGUAGAAAGAUGUAUGUAUGUCACAAAUAAAUAUUGAUAAGGUAAUGACAUGAUAUGUAUUCAUGCUUUUGUGGUUUCUCUCACAGUUCCAAAAACAUAAAUUGCUCAAAACAAGUUAAAGAACAUCCACAAUUGGAAAGCUGUGUCUUUCAAUACCGACCAGCCAAGACAGAUUAACCAUCAUUUGAAAAUAUCGAGUGUUCUUUAACUUCUUAGUAAUAAAUAUUUAAUAUAACAAUCACCCCUGUUCAAUUCUGAUCUGGCUGCCAACACUCCUCCCAAUCACAGCUCACGAACUUCGUCUUCAGGGUUCCAUUGUUUGUCUUUGGUGGUGGCAUCAAAUGCCAGUUAUGGCGAUUUUCUCAAAAGUGAAAUUUGUUUUAGGCCAAACUUCUUCUUUUUUUAGGUUACAGGUUAUUUAAAAGAAAAUCCUUUUGUACCAGGUUUGUUGAAUUUUCCCCAGGGAUAAUUAUAAUGUAACAGUUGCACCAUCCCAAACUAAUGAUCGAAGAAAAAGUAUUGCACUUUGAUGUCAGUGACAAAAGAAAAAGGAUUCUAUUAUAUGUUGAGAAAUAUGUGUAUACCCUCUCAUACUAAUUGCAGGUGUUUCAUAUACACACUCAGAUCUUAUUUGAAAUAUCCACCAGGGAUUAAAGUAGUAGUGUGACAAUAUGCCAGUACUCUAGUCAAGAACUUGUUUCCAGUGCAUGUGUCAAAGUGCUUUAAAAGCAUUGUGAAAGUUUUCCAGUCAUCCAAAUCCUUUGUAGAUGACUUUAAGUUCAGUCCUUGACCCAAAAUUGACGCUCAUGUAUGUGGAUCAACUACCAUUGUGUUGCUUCACCCUCUGUGCAGAUAUGUACUAUUUUCCUGAAGAAUGCCAUAUAGCUGCUGUUAACCUGAGGGAAUCAAAUGGUGCUAUUUUCUUGAAGAAUGCUUGAAAUGUGAUAUUGCCCUGAUGAAAGGUGAAAAUUCCACAAGAUAUCCAUAUGAUCCCACUCCAGGGAAUUAUCUUGCAGAAAUUGAGAUGUGAUGUAAGAAAAUGUUGUCAUCAUAGACCUAGUUGUAAACAGAUAGUGGUCCUUUUUGACCCAUUCGGUGAGUAUUCAUUUUUAUAUUUUAUAUAUUUUUACAAUUGUUAUACUAUUUGUUUUGUGCAUCUGUUGAUGUUAAUCAAGUAUUUUGUAUUCUCCUGUAUGACAGGUAUAUUGUUAGAUUGUGAUUGAACAUUGUUCAUGGUGCAAAUCUGCUUACAUUUCUUUUGCUAAAGAUAUGAAAAUGAAGGCACAACAGGAACAGAAUAAUCGAAGAAUUACCUAUUUGGGAUCCGGUUUGAAAAGGAUGUUAAGAUGUUGUACUCUUGCAUCAUCAUGUAAACAUUAUUUGUUUUGGAAUAUCCUGUACAUUGUUUUCACUGGUUGUCAUUGUUUUCAUGUCUUGGUAAGUUGUUAUAUUUGUUUGUCUAGCAAAAAGUUCUUGUUUCAUAACAAUUUUUGCAGCAAAAAAUUACAUGCACCAUUACAGAUCUGCUACUUGUUGUUAUUAAAUACCAUUUCUGAAGUUAGGUCAGUAAGAUUUGUAAAACUAGAUUAGAUUAUUUGACUGCUGCUUGUUUCGACCCAAAAAAUUUAUAUGUUUUUUUUUUUGUAUGGUGAAUGAUUUCAACACUGUCAGGCACAUAUAUUUUUGGACUUAUUAUUUAAAUGUAUUUGACUAGAAAUUUGCUAGAUGUACAUUGUUCCAUGGUUUCCUUCUUGUUUGAAGUCACUGUUUAUCUUUCCAAUGUACAGGUGAGAGUUUCUCUCAAUAGUAAACCAUGUCUGAUAAUAGAAAUUACAGAUUCUGUCCAAGGUUUUUUGCAAUGUUAGGAUGUCGGAAGCCCAGUGGUUAAAGCACUGGCCCUUUAGACCAGGUCCGAUUUCCCCUAUGGAUAUGCAGUGUUUGAAAAUUAUGCAUUGAAGUCAAGCUGUUCAUGCCCCGUACAACGAAGGGGUCUUAGCGCUAAGAUGAUCAUAACUCUCAUACUUUAACAUGGACUUACGAUAGUCGUAGCACUAAGAUCACUUUGUGGAUCUGUGGAAAGGGGUGUGUUUUGGGUUUUGAAAAUUAUGCAUUGAAGUCAAGCUGUUCAUGCCCCGUACAACGAAGGGGUCUUAGCGCUAAGAUGAUCAUAACUCUCAUACUCUAACAUAGACUUACGAUAUUCGUAGCACUAAGAUCGCUUUGUGGAUCUGUGGAAAGGGGUGUGUUUUGGGUGGGUGAGGCAGAGGCCUCAUUGAUGUGAAAGAGCAAUCUGAAAACUUAUUGACCAAAUGUUUAUUUGGAUCUUGGAAUUAGGGCAUAAACAAAUGCCUCGUUAUGAGGAGAUAGUAGAAACUUAUUUCACCUAACCUAGAUUAGAAUCCUGAUUUGUAUGUCAGACAAGGUUUGCUGUGCUGGCUGGAGUGUGCCCUUUGUUCCCUCUUAAUCAGACUCGGUGUAUCAGACAUUCAGUGUUGUACAGUAAGCCAGAGCACAUCUCAUCCUUCAGACACCUAGGCUUCCCAAGCAACUCUGCUAUACAGCGGCGGUCGGGUAGCCUAGUGGUUAAAGCGUUCGCUUGUCCCGCCGAAGACCCGGGUUCGAUUCCCAACAUGGAUACAAUGUGUGAAGCCCAUUUCCGGUGUCCCCCGCCGUGAUGUUGUUGGAAUAUUGCUAAAAGCGGCUUAAAACUAUACUCACUCGCUCACUACUCUGCUAUACCCAAGACCUGUACAAAUGAGGAAGGACUAGUGACAUUUCCUUGUGGACUUUAGCCAUUAGGCAGAUGGCCACUCUGUAGCAGACCAAUUUUGCAGAAUAGUGAAAGUAUACAUUUAUUUCUAACCCUGACAUGCUGUGAUAAAACUGGAAUACUGUUAAAAGCGGCGUUAAACACAACUCACUCACUCACUAAUAUUCAUGUUUAUUUAUUAACUCAAACACGAGCAAAAUAUGUUGCAAAUUCACAAACAGUUGAAUCAGAUAUUGGAGAGUUGGUGCCAAACAUGAUAUGGAUUUUUGUAAAAUUCUCUUCAGGUAGUGAAUGUACACUAGUAGUGUAAUGAUCCGACAAUACAGUAUGGUAUCCAGAUACCAGGCCAAGGAUACAAUCGAUCAUUUUACAAACCCUGUAUCGCGGUACAUGUGAUACUUGCCGUAAAAGGUGACUAUGCUUGUCGUAAAAGGCUGGAUCGGGUGGUCAGGCUCGCUGACUUGGUUGAUGCAUGUCAUCGAUCCCAAUUGCGUGGAUCGAUGCUCAUGAUAUCAAUCACUGGAUUGUCUGGUCCAGACUCGAUUAUUUACAGACCGCCGUCAUAUAGCUGGAAUAUUGCUGAGUGCGGCGUUAAACAACAAACCUACCAACCAACAUGCGAUACAUUACAUAACAUUACAAGUUAUAUUUAAGUUAAGACACAUGAAUAAUAACAGAAAUGUUCAACAACCAGCUUACACAGAUUCUCUAGUAUUUCCCCUUUGGCUGCACCUGGUAUGACCUUCUCAGUGCCCUCUAGCCUGUAUAUUUUUGCCCUGAAAUUUUGAAACAUAUGAUUCAGGGUUGUGAUUUACCUGCAAAAUGAUAGAAUAUCAACUUAUGAAAUAAAAGUGCUGUAUUGGGAUAUGAAUCGUAUUGCAUCCAUAGUAUGGGGAUAUGUAUUGUAUCACGACCGCAUCAUAUCAUUACUCCUCCAAUGCACAGUAGAGUUACAGGUAAACACGUGGUCGGGUGGUAGAGCAUAUGUAUCGUAUCACGACCGCAUCAUGUCAAUAUUCUCUAAUGCACAGUACAGUGACAGGUAACACUCUUGUUCCCAUGGUGACUACCUCCUUGGUCUAGUGGUAGAGCGUCUGCCGGAGAGCGGAAGGUUGGGGUAAGAUCCCCCCGGCCGCGUCAUACCAAAAGAUGUAAAAAAAUGGUACUUGUUGUCAGCCUGCUUGCCGCUUGGCAUUAUGUGACUAAAACAAGGACUGGUCGGCUCUGAGUCAGUAUACUGAAUCUGUGGGGUAUCCAUGUUAAACUGCGGCAUGGAAUCUCAGCUGGCUAACACUAUGAAAUCGGCAUUAGUCCGGACUUGUACAAGCAGCCACCCACAUGUGCAUGCAUAUCGCCAUGUAAGUGCAACGUUCUUGAAUGCGACGUUAAACCCCAUUUCACCUCACCGCCUUACAUGGUUGUUGUGAACAGUGUCUCAGGCUACUGGCACUAGUUACAUGUUUAAUAUUCUGUAUUUUCAAUGAGCUUUAAGAGAUAUCAGUAGGGUUAUGAAUGUUCUCAUAUCCAAUACAUUGCGAAAAUUGGACCAUACCGCUCUAUUCAAUGGGAUCGCGAAGCAUGUUUGGCCUUUUCUUCUGUGUAGAACAGUGGCGGUUAAACUUAAGUGUUGAAUGGGUAUGAUGCUUGAAUCUUUAUUCCCUGUCUGGUUCGGAUAGAGCAAAGUGCACAUUUCACACAAUGUAUAACUUGAUCUCAUGAAAUUUUAUUUCAGCAUUAACCAUUUUUGUCUGAUCUUAAAAGACAGUGGUAGUACUUGUACUAUUUGUCUCCCUUUGUCUGUUGCUCUUGGGGCCUCACUCGCCCUCUUCUUUGUCUGUGAUGUCACGUGAUGAUGGUAGAAGAAGUUGUCUUCAGAUGUUGUCGCUCGUGCCCUGUAUCUCCCUUAGUGCCCUGUUUCUUGCCACAAUCCUAUAGUCAUGGCUUUGAUAUCCCACUUUGACAUGAUAGUGUUUCUAGGUUUGUCAGCACUAUAUCCAUGCUUGUGGGUUUUACCCACACUCGUAGUGCUAAGAAGGUCGAUACUCCCACACUUUGACAUAGACUUAUGUCAGUCGUAGCGCCAAGAUGAUCGAUACUCUUCCAUACUUUGACAUAGGCUUAUGACAGUCGUAGCGCUAAGAUGAUCAAUACUCCCACACUUUGGCAUAGGCUACGAUCUCUUCUUGGAAUAGGGCUCUGACCCAACAGCUCAGAGCAGUAUUAAACAGCUAAAGCAUUAAAACAAUUCUCCUAUUUUGGGGGAAAUAAGUUUGAGUUACGGUAAGUAUUUUGCUUCAUUUUCAGGCCAGACAAGUUUCAUUAUUUGUUUCCUGUGGUUUUAUCCCCAGAAUACUGAAUUGCAGGGUUGUGCAACAUUGUUUCAUGAGGAGCUGGUAAUCUAUGGUAGCUCGAAGGUUAUUCUAUAUAUUACCCAUUUAAUGGUCAGAUUUGACAUACUUCACUUUUCUUGCACCAAAAUGGCUGUUUUUGUCAGUUUGAAUUUUGGUCUAUAGUUCCUUGCUGGUUCCUAGCUGCCCUUAAACUCGAUUGACUUAAUUAUGUUGUUGAAAUCAUUCACAGCAGUAACCAUAUCAGCAGACAUACUAAACAAAGCUACGAUUGUUGCAGUACUAAGAUCCGUUUGUAAAAUUGGGACAUCCAAGGACCACCGAUUAUUUUUUGUCUUUGGAACGCUUGUAAUACAAUUGUAGGUUAUCCUCAACAGUGACACAAGUGGACAAACUGUCUCUGGCCCCACACUUUACUGCGCAGAAUUAUUUCGAAUCGUGCCAGAAUUCAAAGAUCAUGGGUUCGAAUCCGAUAUUGGCCCUGAUUCUUGGUUUGUCUGCACCAUGCUGUGCUCGUAUGUUUGACCAAAGUGGUAAACAUCUCAGGUCUGCAUCAUUUCCGACUAAUUUUCAAAGCAGCAUAAACCUUUUCUCAAUAAUUGUGGUACAUGGGUUAUAAGAAUGUUUUGUGGCGUUUUGCUCUUGAGAAGGGUGACCCUCACAGACAAAGGAUCCUAAUCUUACUAAAACAGUUGUAAUGUUAGAGAGUUCCAUCUUUGUUCACUUCAGUUGCACAGAUUUCUUCACCUUGGUGAAUGAUGUGUGUGUGGUCAUGUGUUUCAACAUCUGCCUGAGGCAAGUGAGUUAACUGACUAUAAAAGUCCAGUUUCCCCCCUUGCAGAACUAGGCUGGUAUUACAGAGUUACAUUUUGGCUGUACUAAUAAGUCUAUGCAUAGUCCAAUCCGGUUUGAUGUGCACCGCCAACUUGUUGUCAACAGAUAUUUUUCAAAUCUUUUCAUGUUUUUAAUCAAGGUGCUCAUGUGAUUUGAUGCACUUUAUGAUGUAAGACCUAUUUAUCCCAAUAUACAUCUUGAUCAUCAAUCAGUUCGUUGUGACUGGGCACCGCCAUUUUGUUUGAAACAAAUGCAAAUGAAACGAGAGGUGGAAUCUGAUUGGUCCAUUGGAGGGGUUUAAAAGGGACAUAACUUGUAAUAGCCACUGGUGACGCUAUGAUGGAGCCCAGGAAUUCCAGCUUAGUUCGGCAAGGGUGGAAACUUGACUUUUAAAGUCAGUUAACUCUCUUGCCUCUUGUUUCAGUAAAUGGGGAGAGUUUAAGGCCAGCUUUCCAUUGACAUGUUUGAAACUGUGCAGCUGGUUGUAUUCCAUUUACCCACACUUCAUGCACCCUUCCACACACAACUUGUACAACGACGCAUUGCAUGCACCCUUCCACACACAACUUGUACAACGCCACACUACAUGCACCCUUCCACACACAACUUGUACAACGCCACACUGCAUGCACCCUUCCACACACAACUUGUACAACGCCACACUACAUGCACCCUUCCACACACAACUUGUACAACGCCACACUACAUGCACCCUUCCACACACAACUUAUACAACACCACACUACAUGCACCCUUCCACACACAACUUGUACAACGCCACACUGCAUGCACCCUUCCACACACAACUUGUACAACGCCACACUACAUGCACCCUUCCACACACAACUUAUACAACGCCACACUACAUGCACCCUUCAACACACAACUUGUACAACACCACACUGCACGCACACUUCCACACACAACUUGUACAACGCCACACUACAUGCACACUUCCGCACACAACUUGUACAACGCCACACUACAUGCACCCUUCAACACACAACUUGUACAACACCACACUGCACGCACACUUCCACACACAACUUGUACAACGCCACACUACAUGCACCCUUCCACACACAACUUGUACAACACCACACUGCACGCACACUUCCACACACAACUUGUAUAACGCCACACUGCAUGCACCCUUCCACACACAACUUGUACAACGCCACACUGCACACACCCUUCCACACACAACUUGACCAAUAUAGUCUAUAGUUUUGAUUUAUAAUAGAUAGAAAAAUGCUGAUUCAACGUUACAUAUGAAACUUUGUCGGCUGCAAUUAUGUUAGGAGGUUCCAAUAAACAGAGACAUCUGAUUUGCUUAGUUUGUGGAAAAACCCUCCUGGUAUUUUCAAUUCUGUUUUUGGUAACUCAAAUCAAAACAAUAAAUUAGCACAACUUCUCAGCCAAUGAAUAUGGCAGAAGAUCUUUGCAUAAUGUAACUUAUGCAACUAGCUGAUUCAAACCUGUCAAUGGAAAGCCACCCUCCAACUCUUCGAAGCAUGUUAACCAAUAAUUGUUGCCCAAUGAAUGUUUUUAAGAGGACUACGCUCAUCAUCUGGUGCCUAUUUUCAUUCCAUGUCAGGACAUAAUGAAUGCUUUGUGUGCAACUGAGACAUGUCUGUAUUUGUAUCAUUAUACAUGUAUCAUUUUUAGAUAUACAUUCAAAAAUUGAGUCAGCAGACAAAAUGUCGUUUGAACCUUUUGAAACUCGGACUGCCAAAUUGCCCAGCCUAGUCCUCUAUUAGGAUUAAUGACUUUCCAAACAUACAAUAGUCUCUGGUAAUGUAUGUGCCUGUUUUCACGCCUUGUGUUGAGCCUUUAUGAAAGACUAACAUUUUGUUUCAGUGUAGUAGUAUGUGUUUUUCUGAAAGAGUAUUAUGUGGUUUAUAUUUCUAAUAUGAAGGUUGUUUUAGAUUCUUUCAGCUUCCAUGGCAUCCUUCCUAGAAGAAAUUUGAUUGGCUGAUUUUGCUGAGUGAUUUAAUGAUCUGAUCAGAAAAUCCAUUGUCAUCUGAUUGAAGCAGUUGUGUGCAGCUCUUAAGAACAUAUUGGCAUCCCCAUUCUUGAAUGCAAAGAAUGUUUUUUUCUGUUUUGAUACCUGUCAUUUUGUUGAUCUUGUGUUUAUACAAGAUGGUGCUCUGUGAUACAUUUUAUGAAGAUUGUUAAAAAUAUUUUUCAUUGAAAA